CGAUGGUUCAUUCAAAUUUCUGCCCUAUCAACUUUCGAUGGUAGAGUAGUGGUCUACCAUGGUUUCAACGGGUAACGGGGAAUUAGGGUUCUAUUCCGGAGAGGGAGCCUGAGAAACGGCUACCACAUCCAAGGAAGGCAGCAGGCGCGCAAAUUACCCAAUCCCGACACGGGGAGGUAGUGACAAUAAAUACUGAUACAGGGCUCUUUUGGGUCUUGUAAUUGGAAUGAGUACAAUUUAAAUCCCUUAACGAGGAACAAUUGGAGGGCUCAGUCUGGUGCCAGCAGCCGCGGUAAUUCCAGCUCCAAUAGCGUAUAUUAAAGUUGUUGCAGUUAAAAAGCUCGUAGUUGAACCUUGGGCCUGGCUGGCCGGUCCGCCUCACCGCGUGCACUGGUCCGGCCGGGCCUUUCCUUCUGGGGAGCCGCAUGCCCUUCACUGGGUGUGUCGGGGAACCAGGACUUUUACUUUGAAAAAAUUAGAGUGUUCAAAGCAGGCCUAUGCUCGAAUACAUUAGCAUGGAAUAAUAGAA
RNAcentral lists this ribosomal RNA (529 nucleotides) under uncultured fungus. RNAcentral describes it as "SSU rRNA". It matches the Rfam family "Eukaryotic small subunit ribosomal RNA", at positions 288 to 822 of the family's 1831-position model. Lineage: Eukaryota; Fungi. The record is from RNAcentral.